RNAcentral lists this ribosomal RNA (253 nucleotides) under uncultured bacterium. Its description in RNAcentral is "partial 16S ribosomal RNA". It matches the Rfam family "Bacterial small subunit ribosomal RNA", at positions 524 to 776 of the family's 1533-position model. The record is from RNAcentral.
UACGUAGGGGGCGAGCGUUGUCCGGAUUUAUUGGGCGUAAAGAGCGUGUAGGCGGCCAGGUAGGUCUGCUGUGAAAACUCGAGGCUCAACCUCGAGACGUCGGCGGAAACCAUCUGGCUAGAGUCCGGAAGAGGAGAGUGGAAUUCCACGUGUAGCGGUGAGAUGCGUAGAGAUGUGGAGGAACACCAGUGGCGAAGGCGACUCUUUGGUCUGUAACUGACGCUGAGGCGCGAAAGCGUGGGGAGCAAACAGG